This 6346-nucleotide long non-coding RNA is filed under the name Eucalyptus grandis. Its description in RNAcentral is "long non-coding RNA (EGRA_LNC005181)". Lineage: Eukaryota; Viridiplantae; Streptophyta; Magnoliopsida; Myrtales; Myrtaceae. The record is from RNAcentral.
CAAGAGCCAUGGUUUCUCUCAAUCCCAGAUCUCGGGUAUCAUUAGGAAGUGCCCUACGCUGAUUCUGGCGAGUCCUGAGAGGACCCUCUUGCCCAAAUUGAAGUAUCUGCGCUCUGUCGGCUUUUCCGGCUCUGACCUGGCGCCAAUGAUCACCUUUGCUCCCUACUUUUUGACUAGGAGCUUAGAGAAGCACCUCAUCCCCAAUUUCAGUAGGCUGCGGGACUUCCUUGGGUGCAAUAAGAGCGCGGUUACAGCUAUUAGACGCAGUCCAAGAAUAUUGUUACAUGGUUUCGAGGCUACAGUUGAUCGUGUCGUCAAGAUUUUGAGAGAUAAUGGAGUGCGUGAAUCAAGCAUUAUGUGGUUAGUUAAGUUUCAUUUAAGGAAGUUGAUGAAUUCGUACGAUCACCUUGAGAAAAUUGUGGAGAAAACCAAGGGGAUGGGCUUUGAUGAUCCUUCUGCGGCAAAGUUCGCUGUGGCUAUGGUAGCAGUCAUGGGGAUGAGCGAAUCAACUUGGGAGAGGAAAGUGGAUGCUUACAGCAGGUGGGGUUGGUCUAGAGAUGAUGCCAUGAGUGCUUUUGUGAAGAGUCCUUGGUGCAUGACAUUGUCUGAGGAAAAAAUAACCGCAGUGAUGGGAUUCUUUGUCAAGGAAAUGGGGUUUGAAUCUUCCUUUCUUCUGCAACAUCCUACCUUGAUGUCGCUGAGCUUAGAAAAACGGAUUCGUCCUCGAUGUUUGAUUUUUAAACAUUUGUCGUCACAUGGUUUGAUGAAGACAAAGUUUGGCUUGACUACCCUGUUGACGAUUUCUGAUAAAGAUUUCCUGGUGAGGUUUGUGACCCCUCAUAUAGGGGUAGCUCCAGAAUUGCUGGAUAUAUAUCAGGAGAAGAAGCAUAUGGCGAUGGGGGCACUGGUUCCAUGAAAUGGCACAUGGUACCAAAUAAUUCGUUUGUCCCUCUUUCAUUUAAGGUUGUCAUUCUGUUUAUUUUGCGUCUCAACUUUUGGCUGCUGAUUCUUUUGAACUGUGUAGUGUAUCGAUGGAGAACGCCUGCCAUAUCUUUUGAAAUCAUGGAAAAUGUCCAUUGUUUCACAUUCUCCCUUUAAGUUGGCUCUUUAUUCUUAGGCUUUCUGUAGACCUUGCCUUGAGGUUAAAUGUUCAUAUGAAAGCAUGGCCUAGAUGAUCCCUGAUUGUAGGCUUAAUAAGGUAAGAAAGUUAAGUUGCUCAUGUAUGCUGGUUAAUUCUUUACCUGCUCAGAAUUUUUCCAAAUUGAGAAGCUUUGGGAAAGUGCCAAAAGGAACGAGGAAACCAUAGCUAUGAAUGCUUGGAAGUCUCAAUCUUCUGAUCCACAGCAAUCUUCAGAGUGACAGGUUAAAGUUUGACUUGAAUGCGCCUUGAUGUUCUGCAUAUUGGUUGUACAGCAAAGAUAGAUUGGAAGUUUGCUUCGGCAAACCCUGCUUCACUGCCCACCAUUUUCACUUCUCGCGCUAAGAUUAAUCUCCAGUGCCACCACCACGAAUCAACCCCUUUCAUGGUCUCUUAUUUCUUGAGUUUGUGUGGGUUGUCUGCUGAAUCUGUGGUGUUUGUGUCCAGCUGUGCCAACUUCAAGACCGCGAGACUGGACUUGGUCAUUCACUUCUUCAUGAACAAUGGCCUUCUAUUGAUACCAGAUCUCGCAGAUCAUUAGGGACACUUCCUCAGGUGAUUGUGGCCAAUCCUGGGAGGGAACCUUUUGCCCAAAUUCAAUUAUGUGUUCUCUCGGCUUUUCCUACUAUGAUCUUGCCAAAGUCAUCACCGCUUUUCAGGUACAUUGAUGAGAGCCCGGAGAGCGGCCUCAUCGCUCUCCGCUCUCUGCUCUGCAUGGAACAAUUCUUAUCAAAGUUUCAUUUUUUUAAUAUUUCUCCUUACUGCACUCACAUCAUAUGGACGGACGAUACUACCCAGGAAAGCAAAUGGUUCAAGAUAAUUGCUGUUUUGCAGAAUAUAUUUUGUGGGAUAGAGCUCUAUAUAAAGCUAAAGUAGGAAAUGGGCAUUAUGCGAAAUUGCAAACUGGUGAAAGCUUUCCUUCUCGCUGUCUUCGUUAUAAGAUGAUGAACAAAAAUUAGAUUCAGAGGCGGGCAGGUCCGCUUCUUGUUUUCUCAGGAAUGCGAAGAAUAAAGAGUGUGCAUGUGAGGAAAAGAGUAUGAUGGAAAAUGCUCUUUUUAAAAUCACUUGAAUAGAGGAGUCCGCCUUUACAAUUCAUUGACAUAUUACAUAUAGAUUUCUCCCUCUGCCUAAAGCCCAAGCUAAAUAUCCUGGCUACGUAAUUAUUUUUAUCACGACACUUGUUGUAGUUGUCUAGGUUGCAACCAAAGACGUGAUCUCCUACCGUCUUGAAAGUGGAAGGGGUCUGACCAGACUUGUCCCCUGUUGUAGCAAUUGGAACGUCCAUAUCCAAAGGAUGUCUUGUCGUAGAGACGAAUGUUGCCAUCAGAGAGGUGAGCAGUGGUCCAGGAUCAACCUUGGACCAGCCCAACUCGGCCGGUCUUGGUCCAGUUCCCAAGGAGACAAGGUCGGUCCCUAAUUCUGGGACCCUUGAACCUUGCAUUGUUCGAAUUGGUCAUCGGUUUUGAAAUUUUAGGAUGGGGAUUGGACCAACCCUAGUUCAAACCAAGCCCUAGGUGACUUUGUUGUCUUUCUUUUGCUAUGUAAAGUAGAAACUCUCGUUUGACCAAAAGAGAUAGAAACCCUCUUUGUCUUUGCUUUUUGUAGCCGGCUUUGUUCACUUGCGUCGCUCGCCUUUGUUUUAUUGCCUAUCUUACCGAGGAGAUUACCAUCGAUAAGUAGAGUUUGCACAUUGAAGUGGAAUGAAUAUAAGUGGUGAGAUAUUUUAUCGAUUGUGCUAUUAAAAACUAUUGUUAAGUAUUAAUUUACGUGUUGUUUGUUUUGUUUUUAGGUGUUAUGAAGUUGAAGCAAUCUUUUCAUGACGAGCAAGAUAUGAAGUUGCAUAAUUUAUGGUUUAUGUUACGUAUUUUAACUUAUGUUGUCUUUUUUUAUUUCAUGUGUUUGUCUUCUACGAUUUGUCAUUUUUUGCAAGUGAUGAUUUUUAUUAUUACCUUAUCUUAGAUUUAUGUUUGUUAUGUAUCGAUAUUUAUAGUUUGAUUGCGUAAUAUCGCAUUAUCGAUGGAUAUGUAAUUUGAAAGAAUACGUUUGUAUGUUUAGAAAAAUUAAAAAAAGAAAAAAAGAAUUAAUUGGUCCUAGGUUGACCCCUAGAAUAAGACUAGGCCCAUAGUCAAUCCAAUCCGGUCUAAAAAAUUGGGAGCCAAUAUUAGACAAAUUGAUUUGGGGUUAGGUGUUGGACCAGCCCAAUUCAAACCAUGCUCACCUUUGCUUCUUUAGUUAAAAAACAGGAGAAUACCACAAGGGAAGGACUUGUAUGAUUUCCAUUGGCUUUAUGCUAAAGCUAUCAUACUUUAUAAAUUAGCAACGGGUGCAUCUUUAACUUUACUACAAUGUAUUGACACUACUUGCAUCCAUCAAGAAAUUAUGUGCCAUUGCGGUUAAAGAAGAACCAAGAUAGCACUUACUAAUCAAAGGUCGUAGGCCAUUAGGGUUGUGUCCUAUGGACUCCUUCCCAAGCCCAUUUCGUUCAACUUUGAGAGGAUGUAUUUGUAAAAAUGCAAAUACCUUUGGGUAAAGAGAGUUUUCUAAAAUGUAAAUAGUGUUUGAUAAAUUGUAAUUCUAAAGUGUAUUGAGAAACAGCUUUGAACAAAAUACUAUUUGGUAAAAAUUGCAUUUAUAAAUGACUUUUAUUAAAUUAAAAAAAUAUUGCAUUUGUAUUUUUUUUUUUAAGUCUAGCAAUCGAUUGGCUAGAUCUGUCGGCCGGACUGUCAGAUCUGGCCGCCAGAUGCUAUCGCCCACUUUAGGUGAGGUUGCUCGAGGUUGCGUGACCCCAAGCGUCGGCCGUCAGCAUAAGCAACCUUGGCCGGUGAUCGUUAGCCUCCAAUCGACUUUUUUGUGCGGCGAUAUUUGAAGAAGAUGAACAGUAACCAAUGCUAAGACUUGCAUUCCGAAAAUGCAUCUUACCAAAGUACCUCGGACCUGCUUCGGACUAAAAAGCUUUUAGAGUCAUUUGAAAAUGCAAUUAUAUUUUCUCAACGUUGAGCAAAAACACGAACUAAAUGCGUUUGCAUUUGGCCAAAGGAUUUUAGAGUCCCAAAGCCCAUUCCAAAUGCCGAACCAAACAGGAUCCCAUUCAUUGAACUCCAAGGAAACUGUGGAUUCAAGUUGGUAGACACAAACUCGAUAGGAAAGUAUCGGAGAUUUUUUGAUAUAUUUCUUUUGGAGCGAGAUUCUUAAGAAAGAGAUUGAUAUCAAAUUUAUCAGUGAGGAUGAGCUUGAUACUGGAACUAUAGUCUAUAGGCUUCGUAAGGCUUGGCGGUAAUGAGAAAUCAAGUGAGGAAAGCCGCUGGAGAUUAGGUAUGCGCUUCGGAAUGGAUCGUACAAGAAUCCACCAACGAAGCUAAUCCUUUCUCAUCCCUAAUAAACUAGAUUGAGAAAACAAUAAAUGCAACAGCUCAUACACGUAUGUGGCAGAUGCAUUGAAUUGCCCUCUAGUCAGUGCACUUCACAAGUAGAGAAAAUUCAUUGCCGAUCCAAAUUUAACAUGAGUCUGCUUUUUCAGAGUUAAACUAAUCUUAUAUUUCUUUUUUUCUUUUUUUUGUGAUUUCAGAAGAUAUGGAAAUGAAUUGCUUCAUGUCCAUCUCUCUCUCUCUCCCUCUCUCUCCAAAAACAUCACAAUUAUAAUGCGCUAUUGAGCUGUUAUGAUUGUGGACUUUAAUUAAAAACACUUAUCCCAACUUUUGUCAGCAAGUGUUUUUAGAAUAGACGUAAUCAUACUCACGAGAGAGACGGUGCAAAUAACAAACUUUCUUUAUCUAGGUACGUGACAUGUACUGUAUAUCUACUCGCUAGUACAAUUCUCAUAUUUAUUUAGUGAUAUGUGAUUAUAACAUAUCAACUUUGGAAUCUCUUCUUGUUUGGUUUGCGACUCUUAAUAUCCAUAUCGUACUAUAAAUGAUAAACCAAAUUCAUGAGUUUAGCUUGUGGAUUCGCAAAACUAUCUUAUUUUUAUUUGUGUACAUCAUAUUUUGGUUUGUGACUUUUAUAAAUCUAAAAAUUCUCUUAAAAAUUGAAAUUAUAUCAUGAAAAACUUUAAAUUGGUACAUUUAUCACAUAAUUACCUCAAAUGACUACAAAUAAUCCUAAACUAAUACAAUUGAAAUAAAUUUACUUCAAAUUAAUUUUUUGACCCAUGAUACGUUUGUGAUAUAUAUACUCUCCAUUAAAUUAAAAAUCAUAAAACUGGUAUAAUUGUGACAAAUGCAGAGUAAAAUUUCAAACUAGUAUAACAAUCAACUGUCUCGUGUCAUUAGUAUUUUAACAAUAAAAUUUAAUGGAAAUUAAUAAAUGGUAAUUAUAAUAAGUAUACCGAUUUGAGAUAAAUUUGUCAGAAGUCUAUUAAUUUGGGGAUUUUGAUAGUAAAAAAAUUAGUUUAUAAUAAAUUUGUCCAAUAUCGAUUUAGAUUUUUUAUGGUAUUAAACCUAAAUUUUUUUUUUAUUUGUUAUGAAUUAUACUCGGAAGGAUGGUAAAUUUCCUCUGCAGAGGUGAAAAUUUCCAUAUGAUGUAGUUUUGCUACUCCUGGUUCUUUCUCACUCUGUUUUCGGGAAGCUCGGGAGUCGUUUGAUCGUUGGUGACUGGAAGUUCUCUCUGCGAGGGAGAGAAGGAUGAAGAAGAAGAAGAAGAGAGGUCAGUCGAAUCGAACGUGAUCUUGGUUGUGAUUGUACCCACCGUUGUCUCAGUGUAAGUCCUAUGUUCAGUUCGCUCUCUAAAACCCUACUUCGGCGCCCGCUGUUCUUGCCCACCACCCUCAGAUUAAUCUCCACUGCCACCGCCGCCUCGAAUCGAACCUCUUUCGCGUUCUCUUAUCUCGUGAAUUCAUGUGGGUUGUCCCCGGAGUCGGCGUUGUUUGUUUCCAACCGCGUCACCUUCGAAACCUCGGCAAGACCCGACGCGGUGGUUAACGUCUUCAAGAGCCAUGGUUUCUCUCAAUCCCAGAUCUCGGGUAUCAUUAGGAAGUGGCCUCCGCUGAUUCUGGCGAGACCUGAGAGGACCCUCUUGCCCAAAUUGAAGUAUCUGCGCUCUGUCGGCUUUUCCGGCUCUGACCUGGCGCCAAUGAUCACCUUUGCUCCCUACUUUUUGACUAGGAGCUUAGAGAAGCACCUCAUCCCCAAUUUCAGUAGGCUGCGGGACUUCCUUGGGUGCAAUAAGAGCGCGGUUACAGCUAUUAGACGCAGUCCAAGAAUAUUGUUACAU